This 611-nucleotide ribosomal RNA is filed under the name uncultured bacterium. RNAcentral describes it as "bacterial SSU rRNA". It matches the Rfam family "Bacterial small subunit ribosomal RNA", at positions 53 to 677 of the family's 1533-position model. The record is from RNAcentral.
ACAUGCAAGUCGAACGGUGAAGCCAAGCUUGCUUGGUGGAUCAGUGGCGAACGGGUGAGUAACACGUGAGCAACCUGCCCUGGACUCUGGGAUAAGCGCUGGAAACGGCGUCUAAUACUGGAUAUGAGCUCUCAUCGCAUGGUGGGGGUUGGAAAUGAUUUUUUGGUCUGGGAUGGGCUCGCGGCCUAUCAGCUUGUUGGUGAGGUAAUGGCUCACCAAGGCGUCGACGGGUAGCCGGCCUGAGAGGGUGACCGGCCACACUGGGACUGAGACACGGCCCAGACUCCUACGGGAGGCAGCAGUGGGGAAUAUUGCACAAUGGGCGAAAGCCUGAUGCAGCAACGCCGCGUGAGGGAUGACGGCCUUCUGGUUGUAAACCUCUUUUAGCAGGGAAGAAGCGAAAGUGACGGUACCUGCAGAAAAAGCGCCGGCUAACUACGUGCCAGCAGCCGCGGUAAUACGUAGGGCGCAAGCGUUAUCCGGAAUUAUUGGGCGUAAAGAGCUCGUAGGCGGUUUGUCGCGUCUGCUGUGAAAUCCCGAGGCUCAACCUCGGGCCUGCAGUGGGUCGGGCAGACUAGAGUGCGGUAGGGGAGAUUGGAAUUCCUGGUGUA